UGGGCUCACUGCUUCCUGGCUCCCCGGGAUACCAGCUCUGCCCUUGUAUUUAUAAGAAGAGGAGGAUCCAGGAAGUCCCAGGGCAGAGAAUGGGCGAUCAGCUGUCUUCACCACCCCCAGCUUAUACUCCUCUAGAGUGUAUCCUGAACCACUGGGACUGCUUUGACCCUCAGACUCUGGAGGAAAAUGGCUCAUAGCCCUCUGCACAAAGAAAGAAGAUCGAAGUUACCUGUUAAUGGUCAUGAUCCAAAUGGAAAACUGAGGGAAGACAGCCAGGACCUGUCAGAGAACCCAUGGGAAGAAGCUGGGGCACAAGAAAGGAAAGCAGCAAGAGUCUGGCAGACAUUGACCUAUGAGGAACUUGGGGUCCCAUGGAAAAGGUCAGUGGGAAUGCUUCUCUGCUCCCUUCAUCCCUGCAAUAAACUGCUGACCACUAAGCUGUUGGGGAGCCCCUCUGCCCUCACAACCACAGACAAUUCUGUUGGUGGCAAUUUGGUAACUUUCCAGGGUGAGAGAAUUGGCUGGCCAGCUUGUGCUGGUGGAUCUGCACUCCACUCAGGUCCUACCUGAAACAGCAGAUGCCAUACUUGUUGUUCACCCAUUAUGGGCCACUGCCCUGCCAGGGAACCUCGGCCCUUACGUUGCAUUACCAGAUCCCCUGCAAACAUACUCCAGAACUCACUCUGAAUUUGGCACCCACAGGGGAUCAGUGGGUCCCUGGAGAGCUGUGAGUUCCCCUGAGAUCUAGCCCUCAGUGUGGGCAUCCCUAGGGGAGGAUGCAGUGCAGCCUGUCAAAGCCUCCCUUGGGACAAAGGAAAUGUGGAAAUGGUGUUGAUCACUGAAGGGGGAGGCACUGGUGGCCGAGAAUAGGUGUGGAGAGGGAUCAUUUCCUUCUCCCUCAUCCACUGUUGCAGACACAGCAGAGGCUUUCCCCACUGGAGGCUGGUGCAAGCACACGUGGAGACAGCCUUUCCAGGUGCCACUUGCAGAAGCUGCACCCCCACUGAAAAUAAGCCUGUGCUACCUGGACAUGCACAAAAGUCAGGGCCCAUCUCCCUCUUCCUACACUGAGAAGCAGGCAAUGGAGGGCAGACAAGUCACAGAGCUGGACCGGGGGAAGAGGCUUUGCCCUGAGCCCCUUUCAGUGGUAGCCACCAGAGGGGUUUUUCUGCAGAACUCAGUCACACUGCAGCCAGGAGCCAAAGGACAAUGUCUGUAUGAACUGAAUAUUGCAGGCCCUGUGGCAGGGGCAUGAUAGGGAAGCAGAUUGUGUUCCUGCCUGCCCAGGGUGAUGAGUUGGUGCUGUGACUCUCUCAACCUCACCUGUCCCUACCCCAAGACUUCAGCAUAUCCCAACACGAACUCCCCAACCACCCUCCAUCUGGCAGGUGCCUCUCCUUAUCACUUGGCUACUGAGGGUGAGUUGGCUCUUAUUAAGUGCCACUUACUAGACUGGAGACUGAACUGCUCCACCAAAUAAAAACCCGCUAUCAGAAGGGCAUAGUGCUAGUGUAUGAGAUAAGCUUCCUGAGACUUCCACACUCAGCCCCACAGAAGAUAGUGAGUCAGCUCAUACUCCCAAUACAUUGCUAAAACAAGCAACAUUUUAGAAAAACACUGCACAAAAGCUGUCUAUAACCAAGGAACCUAUACAGAGCCUUGGCCCCCUGAAAGCACCAAGAAAUGAAGCAAAUAAUCACAGCAUACAUGACAGUCAUACCCUCAAGGGAAAAAAAAGAUAAAAUUCCCAUCCAAAUAAUAGCACAUUCAAAAAUAAAAAGCAACAGUACUUUCAGAUGAGGAGGAAUCGGUUCAAGAACUCUGGUGGUAGAAACAGACAGAAUGUUUUGACAGCCCCAAAGGCUCUCACUAGCUUUCUAACAAUGGAUCUCAACCAAAAUGAGGAUUCUGAAAUAACAGAUAAAGAAUGCAAAAUAUGGAUUGUAAGGAAGCUCAAUGAUAUCCAAGAGAAAGUUGAAACUCAACAGAAAGAAACCAGGAAAACCAUUCAGGAUAUGAAAGACAGCUAUAUUAAAACAAACAAACAGAACUUCUGGAAAUGAAAAAAUUUAGUAAAGGAAUUUCAAAAUAUAGUGGAAAGCUUUAGCAAUAGACUAGACCAAGAAGAAGAAAGAAUUUUGGAGCUUGAAGACUGAUCUUUUGAGUUAAUCCAGUCAGAAAAAUAUAAAAGAUAAUUUUAAAAAAGGAACAAAGCCUUCAAGAAAUAUGGGAUUAGGUAGAGCAACCACACCUACAACUUAUAGGCAUUCCUGAGUGAGAAAGAGAAAAAGUAAGCAAUUUGGAAAACAUACUCAAGGGAAUAAUUCAGGAACAUUUCUCUUAUUGCUAGAAAGUUAGACAUCAAGAUACAAGAAAUUCAGAGAAAAACUGUGAGAUUCUAUACAAGAUGAACAUCAACAAGGCACAUAGUCAUGAGACUAUCCAAAUACAGUGCUAAAGAAAAACGCUUGAAGGUAGCUAGAAAGAAGGAUCAAGUCACCUAUAAAGGAAGUCCAAUCAGACUAACAGCAGACUUCUCAGCA
This 2543-nucleotide long non-coding RNA is filed under the name Homo sapiens (human). RNAcentral describes it as "HSALNT0389493". The record is from RNAcentral. Lineage: Eukaryota; Metazoa; Chordata; Mammalia; Primates; Hominidae.